RNAcentral lists this ribosomal RNA (327 nucleotides) under uncultured eukaryote. Its description in RNAcentral is "partial 18S ribosomal RNA". It matches the Rfam family "Eukaryotic small subunit ribosomal RNA", at positions 1470 to 1796 of the family's 1831-position model. The record is from RNAcentral.
CCCUUAGAUGUUCUGGGCCGCACGCGCGCUACACUGACGAAUGCAACGAGCUUAUAACCUUGGCCGAAAGGUCUGGGUAAUCUCCAAAUUUCGUCGUGAUGGGGAUAGAUUAUUGCAAUUAUUGAUCUUCAACGAGGAAUGCCUAGUAAGCGCAAGUCAUCAGCUUGCGUUGAUUACGUCCCUGCCCUUUGUACACACCGCCCGUCGCUCCUACCGAUUGAAUGGUCCGGUGAAGCGUUCGGACCGUGGCCUUUGGACGGUUCGCCGUCUGUUGGCUGCGGGAAGUUCGUUAAACCUUAUCAUUUAGAGGAAGGAGAAGUCGUANCA